CAGUCGCCGCGGUAAUACGGAGGGUGCAAGCGUUGUUCGGAAUUACUGGGCGUAAAGCGCACGUAGGCGGCUUUGUAAGUCAGAGGUGAAAGCCUGGAGCUCAACUCCAGAACUGCCUUUGAGACUGCAUCGCUCGAAUCCGGGAGAGGUGAGUGGAAUUCCGAGUGUAGAGGUGAAAUUCGUAGAUAUUCGGAAGAACACCAGUGGCGAAGGCGGCUCACUGGACCGGUAUUGACGCUGAGGUGCGAAAGCGUGGGGAGCAAACAGGAUUAGAGACCCCGGUAGUCCCUGUCUCUUAUAC
RNAcentral lists this ribosomal RNA (301 nucleotides) under uncultured bacterium. RNAcentral's name for it is "partial 16S ribosomal RNA". It matches the Rfam family "Bacterial small subunit ribosomal RNA", at positions 509 to 807 of the family's 1533-position model. The record is from RNAcentral.